RNAcentral lists this ribosomal RNA (292 nucleotides) under uncultured Planctomycetota bacterium. Its description in RNAcentral is "uncultured planctomycete partial 16S ribosomal RNA". Lineage: Bacteria; Pseudomonadati; Planctomycetota. The record is from RNAcentral.
GGACUACUGGGGUAUCUAAUCCCGUUUGCUCCCCUGGCUUUCGCGCCUCAGCGUCAGGUGAGGUCCAGCAGGGCGCUUUCGCCACCGGCGUUCCUUCCGAUAUCAACGCAUUUCACCGCUCCACCGGAAGUUCCCCCUGCCCCUACCUCGCUCGAGCUUGUCAGUAUCCCGGGCACUUUUCCGGUUGAGCCGAAAGAUUUCACCCGAGACUGGACAAGCCGCCUACGCGCCCUUUAAGCCCAGUGAUUCCGAACAACGUUCGCACGGUUCGUCUUACCGCGGCUGCUGGCAC